Molecule: long non-coding RNA, 3499 nt
Organism: Temnothorax curvispinosus
Lineage: Eukaryota; Metazoa; Arthropoda; Insecta; Hymenoptera; Formicidae
Exons: 3
Source: RefSeq, a predicted model, not a curated record
AUAUCGACGUACGUAACGAUUUAAAAAGAUGACCGGAAAAAUUCCGACAGGAUGCCGGUGAGACUCCGUGAUUCUCCGUGCCACGGACUCAACGGAGUAUGAAAGAACGAUCUUUACGUUGACCCGACGAGCGUGCACGUUCAAAAUUGCAAGAUUCACCGAAAUUAUGCCGAUUAGAAUAUCCGGUUUCCCAAUGCAGAGGAGAGGACCGUUAAGAUGGGGAAAACGGGGGGCUGGACGGAAUUAGAACAUUAAGCUAUAUCGCGGAGAAACAGCGACGAAGAUAGAUUUGUAGAAAGAGAGGGAGGGAGGGAGGGAGAGAGAAAGAGAGAGAGAGAGAGACACACACACAGAGGGUAUGCGUAAGACGUAAGAGCGAAGGCGAGAUAAGGCGAGAUGGAAAAUGGUAGAAUGGUAGAACGGUAGAACGAUAGGUGCGACCGUGGUCGGCUCGAGGAGUUCUAACCUUGCUCGGGGCUAGGAGGACCGAGGACGUAGAGACGGGCAGGAUUACGCAGGACGACGACAGUUCCUUGGGUUGAAUCGCGUCCCGAGUCCCGAGACGAGGCUAUACCGAAAGCCUCGUCUCUCCGAAGGCGAAGGCGAAGGCGUAGGCAGUCAACCUCCUCGAGUGUGUUUGCCGCCGCUGGUAUUUACCGAGUGAACAACGGUAGCCGUGUCUCUUGGCGCGCAUCUACACGAUCCACAGAUCACCACCUCCCAACAGACGGUGCCGUUUUCCAGGUAUUAUCGCUCUCGUACGAAAGAUGCGAAGCGAUCGAGAAAGGUUUCGAGCGAACGUUGAAUUUGAUAUCUUCAUCGAAGGACUCGUCGCCAGGCAACCGAGUCUGAAAUUGUGGAACGAAGGGGUUGGAUUAACGCGACCGAGCGAGGAGAUUUGGCAGAUUCGCUAAUUCCCUCCCGAAAUUUAUCGCAUUGCCAUUGGAAAAACAAAAACUUACCCACCGAAUUCCGGUCGCGCGGUGAUGAAUGGAGUGACGCGACGCGCCCGACGCGAUUAUACUCGUGCACGUGGAACGUCGAUAAAAAGGGAAAGAAAACAAAACCAAGGAUCGCUUCGCGAGUCACGGGCUCAACACCGAAUCGAAUAGAAGUUUAGGCGUUUAGCGAGAGAAUCACUAGCAAAAAAAAAGGAAAAGAAAAGGAUGAGUUUGCUCGGCGUUUUCGAUUCCUAGCGACGUCGAUCGACGCGGCGCAGGCACGAUUAAUAAGAAGUAACGAGCUUGAUCUUGUCAAAGUAUGCGUAAUAAGGCCGAUUAGUCGUGGCCUUAUUAUGAGAUUCUUCUCUCUCUCUCCUCGUGACCGCGCUGCUACACGGCUGGGUGGUCGACCACUCGCAGUUUCCGUGCAACGUCGGACUCGGACGCGGGAGGAGGGCAAAGAAGAGAGACUACCUAACGACUCGCUAACUAACAAAACAAACAAGAGGUAGCUAGUGCCCCUCUCAUCUCAUCUCACUGAUUAUAUACCCCGCGGGACCCCUAUACCCGACGAUGCUUCUCUCUCGCUCUCGUCCCUUCCCGUUCCCACUCCACUUGGUUUCUUCUCCGUCCUCUUCUCUUUUUCUCGGACUCGCUCGGUCUCCUCUCGUGAUCAAUUCGCGAUUCGCGAAAGGUUGACGUCGAUGAACGUUCACUCGCGUGGAAAGGUUCGCUAUGCGACAUAUGCGACGUACGCGACUUACCCCGAAAAAGAUUGACGUAGGUGGAAAAAGCCUUUCGAGUCACGUACCUCUCGCGACUACGUUCUAAAUUUACUUGCUGAAUCAACUUUAAUCGAUUUAUAUUUUGCAACAAAAUUUUAUAAAUGGAAUAAGAUUACAUUUAUAUAUACUUUCGAUUCGAAUUGUAGAUCGUCUAACAACUAAGUCUAAAGUAUACUUUGCGAUAUAUCAAUCGUAUUUAUAUGUGUUAUAAAAAGGUGGGACGCGCAGCGUUGUUUCGUCAACUUCGAAACGAACGAACGAACGCACCAGAUAACGCUGGCGGCUUGUUAUCGGAAUCCUUUAGCGCUUUAGCCAGUUUAGCCUUAGCCGGAUGGCCCCUUCCCGAUGGUUCCCACUGGCUGCGUAGUCGUCGGUGGAGCUCUUAUCUCGGAUAAAUUAUCGAGAAAUUCUCGGAUCCGGGUCCUUAAGCUUAAGGCCCGGGUUGGGCCCUGGGUUCAGAGAGAGAGAUGAUGGAUCAGCUCUUUCCUCGAGCCCUUCUUUCGACUCAUCCUUUUUCCCUCGUUCUUGAGACGGCCGUCAAACUCUUGGAGCAGGGCGAACAGAGGUGAGGAACGAAGGAGGGAGAGAAAAGAGAGAAACGGAAACACGAAACUGCCGGAUUACCUACCACCAUGGGGCCGUACGAUCUUCUCUGUCAAUGGCGUAGCACCGCCGAUUAUCGAUUCGAUUCUUUGGGGCGAGAGAUUCUAACAGACUCUUGCCUCUGAUUGUUUCUUGCAUUUUCGAAUUGGACAAUUUUUUAAUUUCAGAAUUUAUGAAUUUGUGUUUUCAUGUACAUUUUGAUUUUUUAGUUUUAUUAUUUAACACAAAAUGUUUCGUUAGCAAUCGAUCUUACAAUCGUGAAGAAAAGACACAUAAAUAAAAAAUAAAAAAAUCCAAGAAUUUUUUUUAAUUAAUCCAUGAAUUCUUGGCGUGGUUCUAAUAAAAACAGAGCUCACAAAUUCGAGAAUUUUAUGAGAACAAAUUGUAAUUUCUUUUUUAUCCGCUAGAAAUCUCGAGUCUAAAACUCGUUGCUUUUCGCGUAAACUUGACACAUGUUACAGGAAUAACGCGAAAAGGGACGUGGUGGAAGGGGCGAGACAGGACAAUGCGUGGCUAGGACUGCAAGGCCCUACGGGUCCAUGGUGCACGGCUCCGUGGUUUCGUGUUCGUGGGGCGCGAUGUUUAUCGGCUCUUUCGAUGUAAAUUAUGGCCAUACGGUAUAGAGUUCGCUACACCACGGCGCACACAAAAGUAUUCGGGCUUCGAGUUCAGGGUCGGAUCUUUGCGAUGGGUCUUAACCCAUCGGCCCCAUCGCCAAGAUCCGAUUUUUCAUUUAAAACUUGAUACUUUUCAAUGAGCUCUUCUCGAAAGUAUACGAAAUGCAAAAUAGGUAAACUAUAUCGAUUCAAAACUGACAAAGAUCGAUAAAGAGAGCUGCGUGAAACGACGUUUCAACAUUUAUAUAGUUGAAUUUGCAAACAAAUGUUUAGAUAAAUUUGAAAAUCCACGACAAGACGAUCGAUUUUUCAAAACUCGUUUGCACACGCGCAACCGCAACGUGUAUUCAUAUAUUGUGAAUCAUCUUGUUUUUUGGUCUGAAGCGUCGCGUUGUUUCGUCCAUCUCCUUUACCUUCCCGUUCUCCUCUCUCUUUCUCGUUCUGCUUUUCUCGCACUUUCUUUCUCCUUCUCAAGCAACUUGCUUUCUCUAAGAUGGAAUGCCAUUGACUCCAUGCAUAUCUGGCAACAAGGUUCCUCUCGACCCACCUCAUA